CGAUCCCGAAGGGGAUCAUUCCAUAUUAUCGCUUCGAGUAUAGUUAAGGUAUCAAAGGGUGUAGAAGAGACAGAAAUUCUAAAAGAGAAAGUGUGAGAGAUAUAAAAAAGAGAGGAUUUAUAAAGGGCUCAUGAAAAAAGUACCAACGAAUCUCGUAUAAUCUCAACCAUUGGAUAUGUUGAUGAGGAAAUGAUCAGUUUGUAUCAAUCGUUCUAUUGAAAAUUAUAAGGGUUUGAAUUAAAAGGAGUCCCAAAGUAAAAACAUUGCACAUUAGUAAAAUUAUUGGGAAAUCAAGAUUGUUUAUAGAUGUCAUAGCAUGGUGGGUGUAAUUUAUGCGUAAAAGUAAAAAUUUUAUAGAAAUCAAGUUUUUUAGUUAUUUUAGGAAGUUAUAAUUUUGGGUAAUUUAUAUGCUGUAUUAGAAAUUAUUAGGGCAUACAAACUAAUAAUAGAUAAUUUUGUUAUAGGUUAUG
RNAcentral lists this long non-coding RNA (470 nucleotides) under Ananas comosus (pineapple). Its description in RNAcentral is "long non-coding RNA (ACOM_LNC019179)". Lineage: Eukaryota; Viridiplantae; Streptophyta; Magnoliopsida; Poales; Bromeliaceae. The record is from RNAcentral.